CCCACCGUACCCCUGGCUCUCGGUCGACCUCCUCUCCCCCACGAUCUCGUCGCCGCCGCCACCACCCACGCCGGCCGGUUCCGGCAAUCUCCAGCUGCAUGCAACAUGCCCCUAAGUUCCGCCCCGCCCUCCCCUUCGUCCAGAUCCAUGCCUCAAGGUCUGCACCCUUGCCCGCGGCUAGGGAUUCGGGCGCCCCCCUGUUCUUGCCGCCGAGUGCCCGGGUCGGCCCGCUGGCCAAUGAGCAGCACCCCGCACCUGCGCGUGCCCAGGCAGACGAGCAGUACGGGGAUUGGCCGCGGAUGGAGACGAGUGCUGGCGCGGCAGCAGGAGAAGCUGUGGCGGCGGCGGAUCUGGUGACUGCCGGGUCGGCUCGUCGUUCGUGGCCGGCCGGAGUCGCGGUGAGGCGCUGCCUUCCAUAGAUUCCGGUGGCUGGCUGACGGCCAAUUGCUCUUGGACGCCGCUGGAGCUGCUCGUUUUUGAAUUUUCAGUAAUGCGGCUAGCUAUGCCAGCAGUCCGCGCGAUUGUGAUUCUCGUGUCGCUGAUAGCUUGGAGCAGUUGGUUCUGGUCCAUCUACUACUCGUGACUGGGAAGGAAGGAUCAUGUCGUUGAUAGUUCAGCUAAAAAGAAAAGCCACACGCGAAGAAAAUAAUGCGUCUGAGUCGAGUGACUGUAUGAUUGUCACCACUGGAUUUACUGGCAAUCCGCUACUCACCCCAGUGUCCGGAAAAGUUGUUAAGAAUUAUAAAUCAAAGACUAAGAACAAUAAAGCUAGGCCUCAGACACCUACGCCAAAUGUUGAUAAGUGAAAACUUCUUGAGUGCCAUUUUCUCUGAAGUCCAAACUCUUUUUUGCCUAUUUAUUCAGGCUGCAAAUGAUUAAACAUGCACAUCCUUUCAUGUACAGGCUCACCACUCAAUCCAACAACUCCUGGUACUUGCCGCUAUGACAGUUCGUUAGGAUUUGUGAGUUCAUAGAAGGGAACACAUAGACAUGAAGCUACGGCGGCGACGAAGACGAUAUCAACAUGGGGCUGCGGCGACGAUGAUGACGAUGACAUCGACAUCGACACAGGGCUACGGCGGCGACAAAGACGAUGACAUAGUCAUGGUGCUGCGGCGACGACGACGACGACAUCAACACGGCCUUGUGGAGGCACUGACGCCGACGACGUAGACGCGUGGCAUAUAUUGUGUGUGUGCGCGCGCGCGUGCAUGCGUGUGCACGUGUGCGUGUGUUAAUUAUCUACAUCAAAUAUGUAUGAUUGAUGAUUGACUGUAUGCAUAACAUGUACGUAUUGUGAAAUGCAUGUCUAAAUUGAAAUAGGUAGACUUUUAUUUUUUUUAAAUCCUAAUUUGUUACUACUAGCGUGGG
Molecule: long non-coding RNA, 1371 nt
Organism: Triticum dicoccoides
Lineage: Eukaryota; Viridiplantae; Streptophyta; Magnoliopsida; Poales; Poaceae
Exons: 4
Source: RefSeq, a predicted model, not a curated record